GAUGAACGCUGGCGGCGUGCCUAAUACAUGCAAGUCGAGCGAACAGACGCGGAGCUUGCUCCUCUGACGUUAGCGGCGGACGGGUGAGUAACACGUGGAUACCCUACCUAUAAGACUGGUAUAACUUCGGGAAACCGGCGCUAAUACCGGAUAAUAUCUUGCACCGCAUGGUUCAAUAGUGAAAGACGGUUUUGCUGUCACUUAUAGCUGGAUCCGCGCCGCAUUAGAUAGUUGGUAAGGUAACGGCUUACCAAGGCAACGAUGCGUAGCCGACCUGAGAGGGGGAUAGGCCACACGGGAACUGAGACACGGUCCAGACGCCUAAGGGAGGCAGCAGUAGGGAAUCGUCCGCAAUGGGCGAAAGCCUGACGGAGCAACGCCGCGUGAGUGAUGAAGGUCUUCGGAUCGUAAAACUCUGUUAUUAGGGAAGAACAAAUGUGUAAGUAACUAUGCACGUCUUGACGGUACCGAAUCAGAAAGCCACGGCUAACUACGUG
RNAcentral lists this ribosomal RNA (497 nucleotides) under uncultured bacterium. RNAcentral describes it as "partial 16S ribosomal RNA". It matches the Rfam family "Bacterial small subunit ribosomal RNA", at positions 28 to 507 of the family's 1533-position model. The record is from RNAcentral.